GGCGAUCAGAUACCGCCCUAGUUCUGACCGUAAACGAUGCCAACUAGCGAUCCGCCGGCGGCUUCUCGGCCCUGGUGGGGAGCUUCCCGGAAACGAAAGUCUUCCGGUUCCGGGGGAAGUAUGGUUGCAAAGCUGAAACUUAAAGGAAUUGACGGAAGGGCACCACCAGGAGUGGAGCCUGCGGCUUAAUUUGACUCAACACGGGAAAACUCACCCGGCCCGGACACCGUGAGGAUUGACAGAUUGAUAGCUUUUUCAUGAUUCGGGGGUUGGUGGUGCAUGGCCGUUCUUAGUUCGUGGAUCGAUUUGUCUGGUUUAUUCCGAUAACGAGCGAGACUCCAGCCUACUAACUAGUGCGGGCAUUGCCUCUGUGCUUGUCACUUCUUAGAGGGAUUGGCUGCGUCUAGCGGCACGAAACGGAGCAAUAACAGGUCUGUGAUGCCCUUAGAUGUCCGGGGCUGCACGCGCGCUACACUGGCAAAGGCAGCGUGCUUGUCCGCCUCCGAAAGGAGCCGGUAAACCCUUGAAAAUUUGCCGUGAUUGGGAUCGGAAAUUGCAAUUAUUUUCCGUGAACGAGGAAUUUCUAGUAAGUGCGAGUCAUCAUCUCGCGUUGAUUACGUCCCUGCCCUUUGUA
RNAcentral lists this ribosomal RNA (634 nucleotides) under Crossonema fimbriatum. RNAcentral describes it as "SSU rRNA". It matches the Rfam family "Eukaryotic small subunit ribosomal RNA", at positions 1003 to 1664 of the family's 1831-position model. The record is from RNAcentral. Lineage: Eukaryota; Metazoa; Nematoda; Chromadorea; Rhabditida; Criconematidae.